Molecule: ribosomal RNA, 172 nt
Filed under: Escherichia coli
Lineage: Bacteria; Pseudomonadati; Pseudomonadota; Gammaproteobacteria; Enterobacterales; Enterobacteriaceae
Also listed under: 1 other name
Description: partial 16S ribosomal RNA
Rfam family: Bacterial small subunit ribosomal RNA
Source: RNAcentral
AAAUUGAAGAGUUUGAUCAUGGCUCAGAUUGAACGCUGGCGGCAGGCCUAACACAUGCAAGUCGAACGGUAACAGGAAGCAGCUUGCUGUUUCGCUGACGAGUGGCGGACGGGUGAGUAAUGUCUGGGAAACUGCCUGAUGGAGGGGGAUAACUACUGGAAACGGUAGCUAA